AGCCGCGGUCCGGAGCCAAUGGGUUACCCAUCAUUUGAACCCUCCCACUGGCAUCAACUUGACCGUUGU
Molecule: small RNA, 69 nt
Filed under: Caenorhabditis briggsae
Lineage: Eukaryota; Metazoa; Nematoda; Chromadorea; Rhabditida; Rhabditidae
Description: snoRNA CBG29649
Rfam family: Nematode sRNA ceN72-3_ceN74-2
Source: Rfam by way of RNAcentral